CAGGUCAUCGAGAGGAAUGCAGACCCUGAAGUUAAUCUGUUGUUCUAUCUGAGAAAAGUCAUCCGACUCACGGGGACAAAGUACGGCUGUGGAGGAGGUGGCUGUGGGGCCUGCACAGUGAUGGUCUCAAGAUAUGACCCCGUCUUCAAAAAGAUCAGUCAUUUCUCCGUCGCUGCCUGCCUGGUUCCCAUCUGCUCUCUUCAUGGGGCUGCUGUCACCACUGCUGAAGGCAUAGGAAGCACCAAGACCAGGAUUCACCCCGUCCAGGUAAUUUAUGCCGCUGCACUGGAUACAGACCCAUUGUGGAGAGCAUGAAAAGUCUCAGCCCCAGUUCAUCUUGCUGCCGGAUGAAUGGGAACGGGAAAUGUUGCUUGGAUGAAGAAGAAAAUGAGCCGGCGAAGAAAACCAGUAUUUACCCCAAAUUGUAUGAAAAAGAAGAAUUUCAGCCUUUGGAUCCAACUCAGGAGCUUAUAUUCCCACCUGAGCUAACGAGAAUGGCAGAGGAUCCCCAAAAGAGAGCUCUGACUUUUUGUGGGGAGAGGACUACCUGGAUUGCCCCAGGAACCUUAAAAGACCUCCUGGACCUGAAAAUGAAGUACCCCAGCGCUCCACUCAUGAUGGGCAACACCUC
Molecule: non-coding RNA, 631 nt
Organism: Peromyscus maniculatus bairdii (prairie deer mouse)
Lineage: Eukaryota; Metazoa; Chordata; Mammalia; Rodentia; Cricetidae
Source: RefSeq, a predicted model, not a curated record